This 254-nucleotide ribosomal RNA is filed under the name uncultured bacterium. RNAcentral's name for it is "partial 16S ribosomal RNA". It matches the Rfam family "Bacterial small subunit ribosomal RNA", at positions 524 to 776 of the family's 1533-position model. The record is from RNAcentral.
CACGUAGGGGGCAAGCGUUGUCCGGAUUUAUUGGGCGUAAAGAGCUCGUAGGCGGUUCGUUAAGUCGGGUGUGAAACCUCCAGGCUCAACCUGGAGACGCCACCCGAUACUGUCGUGACUAGAGUCCAGUAGGGGAGCGUGGAAUUCCUGGUGUAGCGGUGAAAUGCGCAGAUAUCAGGAGGAACACCAGCGGCGAAGGCGGCGCUCUGGGCUGGCACUGACGCUGAGGAGCGAAAGCGUGGGGAGCAAACAGG